This is an RNA transcript of Manihot esculenta (cassava), 1204 nucleotides long. It is a transcript of the gene named MADS-box protein FLOWERING LOCUS C-like, with no coding region annotated. NCBI's taxonomy places the organism in Eukaryota, Viridiplantae, Streptophyta, Magnoliopsida, Malpighiales, Euphorbiaceae. The record is from RefSeq and is a predicted model, not a curated record. The transcript has 8 exons.
UUAUCGAGACUUCUCGACUAGCCUUGCAAGCCGCAUACUAGUACUAUGUGCCACGUCUCAACAAGGCAUACAUUUGCCUUUAGACCAUUAUUCAGCUAUUUCUCUCGUUUUCCCUGUGUCUUCAUUCUGCUUUCCUCUAGCUAAUUAGAUCGGAAUUUGAUCGAAGAUGGGGAGGAAGAAGCUGGAGAUGAAGCUAAUCGAAGACAAAAGCAGCCGUCAAGUGACUUUCUCCAAAAGACGAAACGGAUUGAUAAAAAAGGCUCGCGAACUCUCCGUUCUCUGCGAUGUUCAAAUCGGUGUUAUCGUCUUCUCCAACAGCGGGAAGCUAUAUGAAUUCUGUAGCACCGGCAGUUUUGCGAAGUUUUUAAAAGAUUACCAAAGGCAUCUUGAACUGGAAGCUACUUCUAUGGAAGGUGCUAAACAUAAAAAGAUGUAUCAAGUGGAUUAUUCAAGCUUUAAGUCAUAUGCAGAGCUACUGAAAGUAGUUGAAACGCAGCUUGAAGGUCCAAACAGUAAGCAGCUUAGUUUGGUUGACAUUCUCGAAUUGGAGAAUCAAUUCACGGCCACAUUGACACAAGUCAGAGCCAAAAAGAGGUUUUUGCAGACAGAAUUGAUGUUGGACUUUUUAAAGGCCCUCAAAAAGAAGAUUAUGUUAGAUUGUUCUGUGCAAUCUCUUGACAGGAAAUUAUGCUGAAAGAGGAAAAUGCUCUUCUAGAGAGGGAGGUAAGAAUAUGGAAUUGAAAGAUUAUGCUUUUUCAGGUUGAAGAAAUGAAGAAUGGCGUUGACAUGGAGAGAAGGCUUAGAAACCACCCAUACCUCCAUUUGGUUAAUUCUCCGCGACAAGCAACUCUAAGUUUACUUCACUAAUCAGGUAGGCUUCCUAUUCUUGCUGCCAAGUGAUGUGUCCCACCGCUUCUGUGUUUGUUGUCUUAUUAAUUUGUCACCUUAUUACUUGAAGUAGGAUUCCUCCUUGCUCCCAACUAUCUUCAUCUAUGGCUCCACCAUCUUUGAUCAAGUGGUAUCCCUCGCUAUUGACUAUAAAGUUUGUAUGACAUAUGAUAUUAUGUUCUGAUGAUUCGUCAUAAUAUGCAAUAACUUGUGUGCAAGACAUAUUGGUUGAUAAGUAGCAGGAGCUUGUGCUUAUUUGGGAUUCAUGCAAGAAUGGGUUUUUAUUGAUUUAAUGUAUGUCAUAAAUAUUUCUCAU